RNAcentral lists this long non-coding RNA (524 nucleotides) under Homo sapiens (human). RNAcentral's name for it is "HSALNT0364835". The record is from RNAcentral. Lineage: Eukaryota; Metazoa; Chordata; Mammalia; Primates; Hominidae.
CCAAAACCAAAUUAAACAGUCCCCCCUUUCCUGCGGUUUUUCUUUCCAGGGUUUGAGGUUUCAGUUGCUUGUGGUCAACUGUGGUCUGAAAAUAGAUGCCUGGAAGUGCCAUUGAGUAACACAAUACAAAUGACCAGCGGUUGCAGCAGCCUGCUUCUUGCUGCAGCCAAGCAAACACAGGACGUGAGAUGACCACAAAUGGUCAGCCCCUGCGGACAGCAUGCCUGAUGAGAGUACUCACCCAAAAUAAGCAAACUACAACUGAGUUGGGGACUCCUAAAUGUCACAGCAAGGCAAAUUCCAACUUCUCUUGACUUUGUGAGAUGCUAUAAUUAAAAAUAAAUAUGCAAGCCUGGGCACUCACCCCUGAGUAAAGAUUUCAUGAGCUGUUGUGCUGUGACAGGCCAUUAGGGUAAUUAGGCUCAGCUUUCUGUCGCUUGUGUUGGCUUCUCAAGGCAAGUGGGGGUAGGGUAACGGUUGGAAGUGGGAAUGAGGAUGCUAAGCCCUUAGUUCUUGCUGGGAGG